This 249-nucleotide ribosomal RNA is filed under the name uncultured Gardnerella sp. Its description in RNAcentral is "partial 16S ribosomal RNA". It matches the Rfam family "Bacterial small subunit ribosomal RNA", at positions 109 to 356 of the family's 1533-position model. Lineage: Bacteria; Bacillati; Actinomycetota; Actinomycetes; Bifidobacteriales; Bifidobacteriaceae. The record is from RNAcentral.
AGUAAUGCGUGACCAACCUCGCCCCACUGCUCCAGAAUAGCUCUUGGAAACGGGUGGUAAUGCUGGAUGCUCCAACUUGACGCAUGUCUUGUUGGGAAAGUGUUUAGUGGCAUGGGAUGGGGUCGCGUCCUAUCAGCUUGUAGGCGGGGNUAAUGGCCCACCUAGGCUUCGACGGGUAGCCGGCCUGAGAGGGCGGACGGCCACAUUGGGACUGAGAUACGGCCCAGACUCCUACGGGAGGCAGCAGCG